AAAUCCUUCGGGAUUGGAAUUCUCGACUUAGUGGCGGACGGGUGAGUAACGCGUGAGCAAUCUGCCUUUAAGAGGGGGAUAACAGUCGGAAACGGCUGCUAAUACCGCAUAAAGCAUUGAAUUCGCAUGUUUUCGAUGCCAAAGGAGCAAUCCGCUUUUAGAUGAGCUCGCGUCUGAUUAGCUAGUUGGCGGGGUAACGGCCCACCAAGGCGACGAUCAGUAGCCGGACUGAGAGGUUGAACGGCCACAUUGGGACUGAGACACGGCCCAGACUCCUACGGGAGGCAGCAGUGGGGAAUAUUGCGCAAUGGGGGGAACCCUGACGCAGCAACGCCGCGUGAUUGAAGAAGGCCUUCGGGUUGUAAAGAUCUUUAAUUCGGGACGAAUUUUGACGGUACCGAAAGAAUAAGCUCCGGCUAACUACGUGCCAGCAGCCGCGGUAAUACGUAGGGAGCAAGCGUUAUCCGGAUUUACUGGGUGUAAAGGGCGCGCAGGCGGGCCGGCAAGUUGGAAGUGAAAUCCGGGGGCUUAACCCCCGAACUGCUUUCAAA
RNAcentral lists this ribosomal RNA (551 nucleotides) under uncultured bacterium. RNAcentral describes it as "bacterial SSU rRNA". It matches the Rfam family "Bacterial small subunit ribosomal RNA", at positions 69 to 631 of the family's 1533-position model. The record is from RNAcentral.